GUGAUCUACACUUGGCCAGGAUGAAGUCCCGGUAACACGGGAUGGAGGUCCGCACCAAUAAGCGUUGAAAAGCUUCUGGAUGAGCCGAGUGUAGGAGUGAAAGGCCAAUCAAACUUGGAGAUAGCUCGUACUCCCCGAAAGGCAUUUAGGUGCCGCGUCGGAUGGUCACCGUGAGAGGUAGAGCGACCGAUAGGACAAGAGGGCUUCACCGCCUAUCGAGUCCUGACGAACUCCGAAUGCUCACGGUCUGCAGUCCGGCAGUAAGGGGGCGGGUGCUAAGGUCCGUCCCCGAGAGGAGAAGAAUCCAGACCGCCGUCUAAGGUCCCGGAGUUCUGCCUGAGUUAGUCUAACGAAGUCUGGUCCCUAUGACAGCUAGGAUGUUGGCUUGGAAGCAGCCAUUCAUUCAAAGAGUGCGUAACAGCUCACUAGUCGAGGGUCCGGGCAUGGAUAAUAAUCGGGUAUAAGGCAGACACCGAAGGCGCGGGAUAGCAAUUAUAAAAGUAUCGGUAGGGGAGCAUACUCACAGCGUCGAAUGGUGUACGUAAGUUAUCCUGGAGCGGUGAGUAAAGCAAAUGUAGGAAUAAGUAACGAUAAGGAGGGUUAGAUUCCCUCCCGCUGUAAGACCAAGGUUUCCCGGGCAAUGCCAAUCAGCCCGGGGUCAGUCGGGUCCUAAGUCUAAGCCGAACGGCGAUGGCGAUGGCAGAGACGGUUAAUAUUCCGUCACUGCCGCAUGGGGCGACGUGGAGACGGAGCAGUGAAACCACCGCGGGGCGACGGAAGUCCCCGUUGAAGAGUGUAGGUGUUGAGGAUGGCAGGCAAAUCCACCAUCCGAGCUGAACUUGA
Molecule: ribosomal RNA, 843 nt
Filed under: Segatella copri
Lineage: Bacteria; Pseudomonadati; Bacteroidota; Bacteroidia; Bacteroidales; Prevotellaceae
Description: bacterial LSU rRNA
Rfam family: Bacterial large subunit ribosomal RNA
Source: RNAcentral